RNAcentral lists this ribosomal RNA (330 nucleotides) under Triticum aestivum (bread wheat). RNAcentral describes it as "partial small subunit ribosomal RNA". Lineage: Eukaryota; Viridiplantae; Streptophyta; Magnoliopsida; Poales; Poaceae. The record is from RNAcentral.
AUGCUAUUAAAAUGUAGGUUCUUCAUCCGCAUUUGGAAAGCUGCCAAAUCUUGGAUCGGGAUGCCGGAGAUUGCCACCACAGCUUGGCAGACGCUUCCCUCGGUCCACACUUGGCGAGGGACCAUGGGGCUCAGGGGUGGCCAUAGAAGACGCUCAACGACAAUGCUCUUGUUGUUGGUUGUCUGGGAGCUAUGGAAUGAAAGAAACGCGACGAUUUUCAGAAACAAAUCCACCAUGUUGUCACUUAUCAUCGAUCACAUUAAGAAUGAGGCCAAGGAUUGGAUCUUUGCACAGGCUAAGCAUUUGAGUUCUAUCAUGCCGUGUGAAUAG